Oreochromis niloticus (Nile tilapia) is the source of this 225-nucleotide long non-coding RNA. RefSeq lists it as uncharacterized. The record is from RefSeq and is a predicted model, not a curated record. Lineage: Eukaryota; Metazoa; Chordata; Actinopteri; Cichliformes; Cichlidae. The transcript is spliced from 3 exons.
GUGGUUUCCUGGAGAGUCCAGGAUGUAAACUUGAAGCUCUGAGAUUGGAGAGCUGUGGUUUGUCAGAGAUCAGCUGUGAUUAUCUGGCAGCAGCACUGAAGUCCAACCCCUCCCAUCUGAGAGAGCUGGACCUGUGGGGAAACAACCUGAAGUAUCCAGAUGUGAAGCAGCUGUCUGAUCUUCAGCAGAGUCCAGACUACAGACUGGAGACUCUGGAGUGGAAGU